RNAcentral lists this ribosomal RNA (650 nucleotides) under uncultured bacterium. RNAcentral's name for it is "bacterial SSU rRNA". It matches the Rfam family "Bacterial small subunit ribosomal RNA", at positions 97 to 782 of the family's 1533-position model. The record is from RNAcentral.
GGCAGACGGGUGAGUAACACGUGGGAACAUACCCUUUGGUUCGGAAAAACUUCGGGAAACUGAGGCUAAUACCGGAUACGGCCUAUGGGCGAAAGAUUCAUCGCCGAAGGAUUGGCCCGCGUUCGAUUAGCUAGAUGGUGAGGUAAUGGCUCACCAUGGCGACGAUCGAUAGCUGGUCUGAGAGGAUGGCCAGCCACAUUGGGACUGAGACACGGCCCAAACUCCUACGGGAGGCAGCAGUGGGGAAUAUUGGACAAUGGGCGCAAGCCUGAUCCAGCCAUGCCGCGUGAGUGAUGACGGCCUUAGGGUUGUAAAGCUCUUUCGCACGCGACGAUAAUGACGGUAGCGUGAGAAGAAGCCCCGGCUAACUUCGUGCCAGCAGCCGCGGUAAUACGAAGGGGGCUAGCGUUGUUCGGAUUUACUGGGCGUAAAGGGUGCGUAGGCGGAUUGUUAAGUCAGGGGUGAAAUCCCGAGGCUCAACCUCGGAACUGCCUUUGAUACUGGCGAUCUUGAGUCUGGGAGAGGUGAGUGGAACUGCGAGUGUAGAGGUGAAAUUCGUAGAUAUUCGCAAGAACACCGGUGGCGAAGGCGGCUCACUGGCCCGGUACUGACGCUGAGGCACGAAAGCGUGGGGAGCAAACAGGAUUAGA